This is a non-coding RNA of Chloroflexi bacterium GWC2_70_10, 101 nucleotides long. The record is from Rfam. NCBI's taxonomy places the organism in Bacteria, Bacillati, Chloroflexota.
UCCUCAUCACGAGCGGCAGAGGGAACGGCCCUGUGAAGCCGCGGCAACCGGCGGAGACCCGCUGCGGUGCCAAAUCCGGCCCGGCGAGGGAAAGAUGAGAG